Molecule: non-coding RNA, 313 nt
Organism: Pteropus alecto (black flying fox)
Lineage: Eukaryota; Metazoa; Chordata; Mammalia; Chiroptera; Pteropodidae
Source: Rfam
GGGAGGGCAGUCUGGCUGCGACAUCUUUCACCCCAUUGAUCACCAGGGUCGAUUCAGCUGACUCGGUGAGUGUCCCUUUCCUCCCCGAUUUCUCCAUGUGUGUCCCUCUGGAAGCUGUGUGCUUGAAGAUGACCUUUCCCGAUAGAGGAGAGGACCGUUCUUCAGUCAAGAGCAUAUGCGUAGCUGUGCUCCCCUGCUCGGACCCCCCAAACAAGCUCUCAAAAUGGUUCCUUUUUCCUUCCCCCUGCCAGAACCUGGUUAAGCUCCUGGAGGUAAAUUUUUGGGUUCACUGGAAUUUUUAACUCUCAGAGUU